UUUCUGGUUUCUGUAAGGCCUCUGCAUAAGGUUCAUUUACAGUUGAUGGUGGGCUUUUAUCAUCAGAGGCGGCAUCAUGAUUGGCACAACUCAGACUAGGCAUUUCCAGUUUCCUGGUUUCAUCUACUGUAUCACCCUUCCCCUCUGUUUGAACUUCUUCAGGAAAUUGUCCGCUGCAAAAUGUUGCUUGAUCCUUUGAGGUCACAAUUUUGACAUCAACCUCUUGCAAAUCUUGAAAACGCAGAGCACUGGGUUCUUCUUCUUCAUGCUGAGAAUUAGGGAUGCUCUCUGAGGUAGACUCAAUUUCAGUGCCAUCCUUUUGAGGUGGACUGCUACAAUCUGCUUCAUGCUGAGAAUUUGGGAUGCUCUCUGAGGUAGACUCAAUUUCAGUGCCAUCCUUUUGAGGUGGACUGCUACAAUCUGCUUGCUUCUCUCCAUUGCAAACACUUGUUUCAGAAUCAGUGGAGCUGUCUUUAGGACCGUCAGAUACUUCCACUGAACAGCUUGUAGGAUCAACUGUCUUGUUUUCCAGGCUGUAUUCUGUGCUAGACAUUGAUGUUGGCUUGUCAUUCUGAGGU
RNAcentral lists this long non-coding RNA (578 nucleotides) under Populus trichocarpa (black cottonwood). RNAcentral describes it as "long non-coding RNA (PTRI_LNC001678)". The record is from RNAcentral. Lineage: Eukaryota; Viridiplantae; Streptophyta; Magnoliopsida; Malpighiales; Salicaceae.